GGUAGUUCUUGGCUUAUGCACUCCAGAAUCAGGCUCCCUCCUCUCUGGUUCCCGGUGCAUCACCUGAGAACUGCA
This is a non-coding RNA of Myotis davidii, 75 nucleotides long. The record is from Rfam. Lineage: Eukaryota; Metazoa; Chordata; Mammalia; Chiroptera; Vespertilionidae.